UAUUUUGACUAUACAAAGGUAUUGUAAUAAGACUUUAAUUGAGUGCUAAGAGAAUGGACUUUCAAAAAAAUUCUUUUUUAAAUUUAAAAAUUAAAGUUAUUUUUAUUUGUGAAGAAACAAUAAUGAAAAUUAUGGACAAGAAGACCCUAUGAAUUUUAACUAAAUUAAACUAAAGCUUUAGUUUAAUUUAGUUUAAUUGGGGCGAUUAAAAAAAAUAAUAAACUUUUUAUAAAAUAAAAUGAUCCAUAAAUUAUGAUUAAAUGUAAUAAAUACUCUAGGGAUAACAGCGUAAUAAUUUUAGAUAGAUCUUAUAGAAAAAAUAGUUUGCGACCUCGAUGUUGGAUUAGGAUACUUUUUUAAUGAAGAAGUUAAAAUAAGAAGUUUGUUCAACUUUUAAAAUCC
This 402-nucleotide ribosomal RNA is filed under the name Haemaphysalis mageshimaensis. RNAcentral describes it as "partial 16S ribosomal RNA". The record is from RNAcentral. Lineage: Eukaryota; Metazoa; Arthropoda; Arachnida; Ixodida; Ixodidae.